Molecule: small nuclear RNA, 197 nt
Organism: Pseudophryne corroboree (corroboree frog)
Lineage: Eukaryota; Metazoa; Chordata; Amphibia; Anura; Myobatrachidae
Product: U2 spliceosomal RNA
Exons: 1
Source: RefSeq, a predicted model, not a curated record
ACAUGUUUCCGCGCCUUUUGGCUAAAAUCAAGUGUUGCAUCUGUUCUUAUCAGUUAAAUAUCUGAUGCACCCCCAUAUCUGGGGGGACCGAUAUUACAUGGAUUUUUAGAACAGGGAGAUGGAAAAAGCUUGCUCUGGCUACUCCACACAUUGACCUGGUAUUGCAGUACUUUACUUUUCUGACUGGUGCACCUUUC